RNAcentral lists this ribosomal RNA (450 nucleotides) under uncultured bacterium. Its description in RNAcentral is "bacterial SSU rRNA". It matches the Rfam family "Bacterial small subunit ribosomal RNA", at positions 354 to 796 of the family's 1533-position model. The record is from RNAcentral.
GUGAGGAAUAUUGCGCAAUGGGGGAAACCCUGACGCAGCAACGCCGUGUGAGUGAUGAAGGCCUUCGGGUCGUAAAGCUCUGUUGGGAGGGAAGAAAGGUUCGUGACGAAUAAUCACGAUCUCUGACGGUACCUCCAGAGGAAGCACCGGCCAACUCCGUGCCAGCAGCCGCGGUAAUACGGAGGGUGCUAGCGUUGUUCGGAAUUACUGGGCGUAAAGCGCGUGCAGGCGGCCAGUUAAGUCAGAUGUGAAAUCCCUGGGCUUAACCCAGGAACUGCAUCUGAAACUGGUUGGCUAGAGUACGGGAGAGGAAGGUGGAAUUCCUGGUGUAGAGGUGAAAUUCGUAGAUAUCGGGAAGAACACCAGUGGCGAAGGCGGCCUUCUGGCCCGAUACUGACGCUGAGACGCGAAAGCGUGGGGAGCAAACAGGAUUAGAAACCCCAGUAGUCC